RNAcentral lists this long non-coding RNA (962 nucleotides) under Homo sapiens (human). RNAcentral's name for it is "non-protein coding BOLA3-AS1:21". The record is from RNAcentral. Lineage: Eukaryota; Metazoa; Chordata; Mammalia; Primates; Hominidae.
CUCUGCCUUCGCUCGCGCCGCUCUCCUUCAGUCUCCCCAGGGCCUGUUUCAUGGAUAGGGUCCCCUUGCCCGCGUGAAAGUCUCAUUCCUCCUCAGCUCAGAAACACUCCAAGGUCUCGGCGCCCUAUACUGGCCUUCCCUCAUCCGAAUACCCCUCGUGCUCCUGAUGUACUUUUCCAUUCCCACUCCCUACUCUGGCAGUCUAGCUUCUAAGCUGAGGAGUUUGGCCUUCGCUCCAGGUGCGGGGACUCGUGGAAGGAUUUGAUUCGCGCUUGAGAAAGAUCGCUCCGCUCCUGUAAGGAAGAGAGCGUGUAGGGGCUGCAACCAGAGACACAGUCAGAAGCUCCGAGGCUACCGCGAUGGUCCAGGACACAGCCUAACAGAGGCCCAGGUUGGAGCCAUGGACCAUGGAGUCAUGAGAAUGGAAGGGAAGCUGACGCCAUGUGGGAUGGGGUAGAACUGUCCGCAAAUUCGUCCCGCCUCUGGAGUCUUCAGACCAGUCAAGGCCGAAAUUCAACCAAGCCUCUCCUCUCUCUAGCUGUUAUUUGUUUGCAGCACGCGGUCUGGUGGCACCCUGCAGGAUUUACCAGCUUUUUGCCAACAUUCUGGCCUAUGCAAUCAAUACGUCCCUUCAGCGUUGCACUUGGAUGGAUUGGACCUAUAGUUGUUAUAUAUGGAUAUUGUCUAAUUUAUUUAUUACAGUAUUAACUGACUCCUAUGUUCUGGCCUUCAGAAUUUCUCCUUUGGAUCAAUUACUAGCCUGUCUUACAUUUUCUGCUUCAUUCUUUUAAAAUGUUUAGAGAUGAUUUGCUAAGUUUUCUUCAUUGCUGUCAAUGAUGCAAUUUAAACUGUCAAAAAAAUUUUUUCUCAAGCAGGGUAGUAAUGGUGAACCAUUCCCUUGCUAUUCAGACAGCAUGGUUUAGAUGAGGCGCACCUAUCCCCAGCUUUAGGAAUGGAAACAG